This 477-nucleotide ribosomal RNA is filed under the name uncultured anaerobic ammonium-oxidizing bacterium. RNAcentral's name for it is "bacterial SSU rRNA". It matches the Rfam family "Bacterial small subunit ribosomal RNA", at positions 365 to 832 of the family's 1533-position model. The record is from RNAcentral.
UUCGCAAUGCCCGAAAGGGUGACGAAGCGACGCCGCGUGAGCGAAGAAGGCCUUAGGGUUGUAAAGCUCUGUCAGAGGUUAAGAAAUGUAAACAGGUUAAAACCCUGCUUAUUUGACAAAAGCCUCAAAGGAAGCCACGGCUAACUCUGUGCCAGCAGCCGCGGUAAUACAGAGGUGGCGAGCGUUGUUCGGUAUUAUUGGGCGUAAAGAGCACGUAGGUGGUUCUGUAAGUCAGAUGUGAAAGCCUUCUGUUCAAAGGAAGAACGGCAUCUGAAACUGCUGAUCUUGAGUGUAGGAGGGGAGAGUGGAACUUCUGGUGGAGCGGUGAAAUGCGUAGAUAUCAGAAGGAACGUCGGCGGCGAAAGCGACUCUCUGGCCUAUUACUGACACUGAGUGUGCGAAAGUUAGGGGAGCAAACGGGAUUAGAUACCCCGGUAGUCCUAACCGUAAACGAUGGGCACUAAGUAGAGGGGUUUU